AUACGUAGGGUGCGAGCGUUGUCCGGAAUUACUGGGCGUAAAGAGCUCGUAGGUGGUUUGUCGCGUCGUCUGUGAAAUUCCGGGGCUUAACUCCGGGCGUGCAGGCGAUACGGGCAUAACUUGAGUACUGUAGGGGAGACUGGAAUUCCUGGUGUAGCGGUGAAAUGCGCAGAUAUCAGGAGGAACACCGGUGGCGAAGGCGGGUCUAUGGGCAGUAACUGACGCUGAGGAGCGAAAGCAUGGGUAGCGAACAGGAUUAGAUACCCUGGUAGUCCAUGCCGUAAACGGUGGGCGCUAGGUGUAGGGGUCUUCCACGACUUCUGUGCCGUAGCUAACGCAUUAAGCGCCCCGCCUGGGGAGUACGGCCGCAAGGCUAAAACUCAAAGGAAUUGACGGGG
RNAcentral lists this ribosomal RNA (398 nucleotides) under uncultured bacterium. Its description in RNAcentral is "partial 16S ribosomal RNA". It matches the Rfam family "Bacterial small subunit ribosomal RNA", at positions 523 to 918 of the family's 1533-position model. The record is from RNAcentral.